AGCCGCAUAGUCCAACAGGAAGGAGACAGCAGUUUUAAAAUCUGAACAGUCCGGGUUCGAAUCCCGGUGCGGCUA
Niastella vici is the source of this 75-nucleotide transfer RNA. It matches the Rfam family "tRNA". From Rfam's summary of the family: Transfer RNA (tRNA) molecules are approximately 80 nucleotides in length. Their secondary structure includes four short double-helical elements and three loops (D, anti-codon, and T loops). NCBI's taxonomy places the organism in Bacteria, Pseudomonadati, Bacteroidota, Chitinophagia, Chitinophagales, Chitinophagaceae. The record is from Rfam.